Molecule: RNA transcript, 2294 nt
Organism: Theobroma cacao (cacao)
Lineage: Eukaryota; Viridiplantae; Streptophyta; Magnoliopsida; Malvales; Malvaceae
Gene: DEG9
Gene name: DegP protease 9
Source: RefSeq, a predicted model, not a curated record
UUCAUUUCCCCCACCUAUUGCCUCUGCUUCAAACUUCAACCAAAGAGGCUGAAAGCAAAUAAUCCUCUAUCCCAAAUCAACAAUCCCCUAAUCAAAAACCCUACGUUGAAACCGCUAUAAAUCCUUAAAAACGAAAUCCAAUGGGGGAAACGAGAAAACGAGGCCGCAAACCGAAAACCCCUGCAUCAACCACCGAGGCUAUGGACUUCCAAUACACCGCCGCCGCCGCUGCCCAAAACGACGCUGUUACAGCCCAAAACGACGUCUUUAUCGCUGCAAACGACGCCGUAUCGACCGCCACCGCCAACAAUGAUGCGAACAACCCACCACCAGCGCGACGGGGCCGAGGACGACCGAGGAAGUCGGGAGCGGGGCACACUGAGGAUACGGAGCCGCACGUGGCAGCGUCUCCGGAGCGGAGACCUUAUCAAAACGGGGGGGUGGUGGUGGAGCCACCUCCACAGCCAGUGGCGAAGUGGGAGAGCAUUGCGGCGAGGGUGGUGCCAGCGAUGGAUGCGGUGGUGAAGGUGUUUUGCGUUCACACGGAGCCGAAUUAUUCGCUGCCGUGGCAAAGGAAAAGGCAGUAUUCUUCAAGUAGUAGUGGGUUUAUAAUUGGAGGGAAAAGAGUGUUAACAAAUGCUCAUUCAGUGGAACAUUAUACUCAAGUGAAGUUGAAGAAAAGGGGUUCUGAUACUAAGUACUUGGCUACUGUUUUGGCUAUUGGGACUGAAUGUGAUAUUGCAAUGUUAACUGUUAGCGAUGAUGAGUUUUGGGAAGGUGUUUCACCUGUUGAGUUUGGAGAUUUGCCUGCACUACAAGAUGCUGUAACUGUUGUGGGCUACCCGAUUGGAGGUGACACAAUCUCUGUUACGAGUGGUGUUGUUUCACGCAUUGAGAUACUCUCUUAUGUUCAUGGGUCAACUGAGCUCUUGGGACUACAGAUAGAUGCAGCUAUAAACUCUGGAAAUUCUGGCGGGCCUGCCUUCAAUGAUAAGGGCAAAUGUGUUGGUAUUGCAUUUCAAUCUUUGAAACAUGAAGAUGUGGAAAAUAUUGGGUAUGUCAUACCUACACCAGUCAUAAUGCACUUCAUUCAGGAUUAUGAAAAGAAUGGAGCAUAUACAGGCUUCCCAAUCCUUGGUGUUGAGUGGCAAAAGAUGGAAAAUCCUGAUUUGCGCUUGGCAAUGGGGAUGAAACCUGAUCAGAAGGGGGUACGUAUUAGGAGAAUUGAGCCCACAGCUGCAGAAUCUCAUCUUCUGAAGCCAUCUGAUAUUAUACUUAGUUUUGAUGGGGUAAAAGUUGCUAAUGACGGAACAGUUCCAUUCAGGCAUGGGGAGCGCAUAGGUUUCAGCUAUCUUGUUUCUCAGAAGUAUACUGGGGAUACUGCAUUGGUUAAAGUUCUGCGUGAUUCAGAGAUAGUUGCACAUGACAUAAAACUUGCGACGCACAAGAGGCUCAUCCCAGCACACACCAAUGGGAAACCUCCUUCUUAUUACAUUAUUGCUGGAUUUGUUUUUACAGCUGUAACUGUUCCAUACUUGCGAUCUGAGUAUGGGAAGGAUUAUGAAUUUGAUGCACCAGUCAAACUAUUGGAUAAGCAUCUACAUGCAAUGGCAGAGUCUACGGAUGAACAGCUUGUUGUUGUUUCACAGGUGCUUGUGGCUGACAUAAAUAUUGGAUAUGAAGAAAUCGUCAAUACUCAGGUUCUUGCUUUCAAUGGCAAACUUGUGAAGAAUCUAAGGAGCUUAGCUCAUAUGGUUGAGAACUGCAAUGAUGAAUAUUUAAGAUUUGAACUGGAAUAUCAACAGAUAGUAGUGCUACAAACCAAGGCUGCAAAGGCUGCAACUUUAGAUAUUCUAACCACACAUUGUAUAUCUUCUGCAAUGUCUGAUGAUCUCAAGACUUGAUAGAAGUUUGAGGGGAAACACAAAUGAUAAUUCAUGUGAUUCUCCUUUUGCAUGUCUCCUCAGGAACAUGAUACAACCUAGUGGAGUGAUAUUUGCCUAUACAAGCGGCCGUUGAGGGGUACCGCAUAGUGUUAAGUUUUGCCUCUUCAUUUGCGGGUGUAGUUGUAGCUGGGUUGCACUUCUUAGUAUUAGUUUAUAUUGGAAGGAAACAGAGAGGAUAUGAAGGCAGAUGGAUUUGACAUGGACCGAAGCCUGAAAUGGGGGAGGCCGAGGUCUAAAGCAGACUUUGUAACCUCUUUGCAGUUAAGAAAUGAUCCAUCUCCUGUACUCUUAACUGCAGAUGUUCUUUUUCCGUUUGCAGAUAGUAGUUAAGCAAUGUGUUUUUUGACA